Molecule: ribosomal RNA, 495 nt
Filed under: uncultured bacterium
Lineage: Bacteria
Description: SSU rRNA
Rfam family: Bacterial small subunit ribosomal RNA
Source: RNAcentral
AGAUUGAACGCUGGCGGCGUGCCUAACACAUGCAAGUCGAGCGGUAACAGGUGUAGCAAUACAUGCUGACGAGCGGCGAACGGGUGAGUAAUGCUUUGGAAUCUUCCCAGUAGUGGGGAAUAACCAGUCGAAAGAUUGGCUAAUACCGCAUACGUCUGAAAAGGGAAGCGGGGGCUCGUAAGACCUCGCGCUAUUGGAUGAGCCAAAGUCGGAUUAGCUAGUUGGUGGGUAAUGGCCUACCAAGGCGACAAUCCGUAGCUGGUCUGAGAGGACGACCAGCCACACCGGAACUGAGACACGGUCCGGACUCCUACGGGAGGCAGCAGUGGGGGAAUAUUGGACAAUGGGGGAAACCCUGAUCCAGCGACGCCGCGUGUGUGAAGAAGGCCUGCGGGUUGUAAGCACUUUUAGUGGGGACAAAAGCUACGGACUAAUACUCUGUGGUCUUGAUUUAACCCAAAGAAAAGCACCGGCUAACUCUGUGCCAGCAGCCGC